RNAcentral lists this unclassified non-coding RNA (2312 nucleotides) under Hevea brasiliensis (rubber tree). The record is from RNAcentral. Lineage: Eukaryota; Viridiplantae; Streptophyta; Magnoliopsida; Malpighiales; Euphorbiaceae.
AACGAUUUCAUUAUGGUGGAUCUCAUAUCAAUUUUACUACAAUAAAUGAUUAUAAUAAAUUCGUUGUAUAUAAUAAACAGACACUUUUGCAUUCAGGGUGAAAAUAUAAAGCAGCAUAAAAUGGUAGUUCCUCUACCUAGGCAAUAUAUGAAUAUUAGCAAUGAUAGUUUCCUCUACCUAGGCAGUAUAUGAAUAUUUUCACAGUAUGUUUCUUGAUAAAAAUAUUAACACUCUCCUUUCAAAUCAAAAAAUAAUUAGAGUUUUGAUUUCCCACCUUUACUUCCAGGAAUCUGUAAUGCAUCAUAAUGACCAAAACCAUGAUACAGAACUCGAAUUGGAUUGUCAUUGCCAUAUUCUUGACCAUACUCGGCGACAGUUAUAAGGCCACCAUCUUUCUGUUCAUACAUGUAAACAGUGAUUGCCAUCUUGAGAACAUGUGAAGCCAUGAACAACUCAGGCUCACCCCCCCAUACAUGUGGCUUCCUCAUAUGUGCCACAUAGGUGUUAAAAUCACCUUCUACAAACCAUUCUGUCUCUUGCCUCCUCUUGAUAAACUCAUCAGCAACCUGACAAAUUUAACAAACCAACAAUAAUCAUAAGUCCUUUUGAUGAAAAAUUAAUGCAAACAACUGGAGCCUGCCUUCUACAUUUGAACAUAUCAUUAGGCAACUGCCUGUAAUAUAUGAGUCAAUCUAGGUCUAUACAGAGUCAUCAUUUUCACUGCUUAAAAGUUCUACCUGAAAGAAGCAUUCCAAAAGAAGUGGUGGGAGAGAGAGACACAAAAUUAAUGAUACAAUACAAAAGCAAACUCAACAGAAGGCAAUGGAUGGCAAUCUUGCAAGUUGCACGCCAUGAACCAUAUUUUUCACAGAAACCAAAUUUCAGAUUCAAAAUUAUGAAAAAGGCAUUAGUAAGAUACUCUAGUCCGCAAGUCAUCAGCUAAUUCUCUCUGAAGACUUUCACUUGGGGCUGGUUUUCUGGCUCGUAAACAAGCCCCAUGGGCCACAGAGCGGAACAUACACCUUCCAUCUCCUGGUAUUCCAGUAAUGGAAUAGUCAGUAUAGACUUUCUUCCCAUGCGAGAAUUUAACAUAUGAUAAAUCAGAAUCAUCCUCUUCAUCCUUCUUCUCCGCAGCUGCUUCAGCAUGUGUUGACUCAAAACUUGAAAAACAAAUCAAGGGACCAAAAAUUAAGCCUGCUGAGGCAUAUUCUUGCAACCAUGAUAUAGAUCCCACAUUACCCUUUAUUUUGGAGUGUGUUUCUCGUUUUGACAAUGAAAACCUCAAGUUGAAAGUUUGAUAUGCCAGUGAAAUAUUGAAGUGUCUCUUCAAAGGACCUCUAGCAUUAAAUAAACCUUUCACUGUAAAUGACUGGCAAUUGCCACUCUGCUUGGAUGAGCCUGGCCUAAAACAGCUCCUAUGCAAUGUGUGAAAGCUACUAAUAGAUGGACUAGUUAAUUUCUUUGAGACAGAUAAGUGAGCAUAAUUUUCUCUAGAAUUUCCAGGGCACAAACUGAAACAACUGGAUUGUCCUCUGGACAACAAAUUCAAAAUAGUGCUGCCCAUAUGUUGAACACACUCACUCAGGUAGACAGCAUUUCUUACACCUGUGCUGAUGGGAGAGCAAAUUAUAUCAUCCUGGCAUAGCCUGAGGCAGAAGCUCAAUGUGAGACAUUUUAGUUAAGUUUGAAAAAAAAAUUAAGUAGAAAGCCCUUAAAAAAUACAACCAUAUAUAUAAGGAGAUCCUAAGGAAGAUAUUAGUUCAAAGCAGUGAUCAAAUAGUAAGGAGAUCCUACAGUUAACGUCAUUUGGAUUGCAGUGAAGGAUAUAUAAGCAGGGAUUAGUAAAUUCAAAGCACGAGGUAACUAGUCAAAGAACUCAUAGUCACAGUAUCUUUGUUCUUUAACACAAAUCUCACAAUAAUCAUACUUUCUCAGAGUCAAGUCAAAUUAGAAAACCAGUUUUAACAUUUUAACAACCAGGUUAGGAAUCUGCUGAAUCCCCAAGCAGAGGGGUUUUCACUAUCUUACAGAACUUCAUAAUUGUUAGUCACAGAAGCUAUUAGGCUUACGUAACAAAUGGGAGGUGUGAUUCUCACAUUCCUUCAGCUUUCUUCUAAAUCAAAGAAAAAAAAUUUGAUAUUAUGAUCAUAAACUGCCUGGAAGUCAACUUCAUAAAAGAAUGAUGAUAUACUAAUCCAAUAAUAUUAUAGGAUUAGCAUUCUAAACUGUUGUUCAGCGACAUAUAAUUACCAUUAGCAUUCCUAAACUUGAAUCAUCCUUGCAUUUUCAAGUAAUAAAUGCUACACAAAAAA